CGUGUAGGCGGGGAUACAAGUCAGAUGUGAAAUACCGUGGCUUAACCACGGGGCUGCAUCUGAAACUGUAUUUCUUGAGUGUCGGAGAGGAAAGUGGAAUUCCCAGUGUAGCGGUGAAAUGCGUAGAUAUUGGGAGGAACACCAGUGGCGAAGGCGACUUUCUGGACGAUAACUGACGCUGAGGCGCGAAAGCGUGGGGAGCAAACAGGAUUAGAUACCCUGGUAGUCCACGCUGUAAACGAUGGAUACUAGGUGUGGGAGGUAUCGACCCCUUCCGUGCCGCAGUUAACACAAUAAGUAUCCCACCUGGGGAGUACGGCCGCAAGGUUGAA
Molecule: ribosomal RNA, 332 nt
Filed under: uncultured bacterium
Lineage: Bacteria
Description: bacterial SSU rRNA
Rfam family: Bacterial small subunit ribosomal RNA
Source: RNAcentral